Molecule: ribosomal RNA, 271 nt
Filed under: uncultured prokaryote
Description: partial 16S ribosomal RNA
Rfam family: Bacterial small subunit ribosomal RNA
Source: RNAcentral
UACGGAGGAUCCGAGCGUUAUCCGGAUUUAUUGGGUUUAAAGGGUGCGCAGGCGGGGGAUUAAGUCGGCGGUGAGAUUUUGCAGCUCAACUGUAAAAGUGCCUUCGAAACUGGUUUCCUUGAGUGUAGAUGAAGUAGGCGGAAUUUGUGGUGUAGCGGUGAAAUGCAUAGAUAUCACGAGGAACUCCGAUUGCGCAGGCAGCUUACUAAACUACUACUGACGCUCAGGCACGAAGGCGUGGGGAUCAAACAGGAUUAGAUACCCCCGUAGU